This is a non-coding RNA of Triticum aestivum (bread wheat), 135 nucleotides long. Lineage: Eukaryota; Viridiplantae; Streptophyta; Magnoliopsida; Poales; Poaceae. The record is from Rfam.
UGAAUACUCCCUCCGCCCCAAAAAGUUUGUCUUAGAUUUGUCUACAUACAGAUGUAUCUAAAUAUGUUUUAGUAUUAAAUACAUUUAUAUGUAGAUAAAUUUAAGACAAGCUUUUUGGGACGGAGGCAAUGCUCA